RNAcentral lists this ribosomal RNA (1327 nucleotides) under metagenome. RNAcentral's name for it is "bacterial LSU rRNA". It matches the Rfam family "Bacterial large subunit ribosomal RNA", at positions 1561 to 2925 of the family's 2925-position model. The record is from RNAcentral.
AGUGGAUGGGGAGCAACCUAGUUGUGCGUGUGUAAAGGUAGUGCCAAGAAAAGCGAUGAUCAUGUUGAAAAUCAAUUCCCGGUACCCGAAACCGACACAGGUGGGCAAGUAGAGAAUACUAAGGGGCGCGAGGUAACUCUCUCCAAGGAACUCGGCAAAAUGACCCCGUAACUUAGGGAGAAGGGGUGCCACCGAGAGGUGGUCGCAGUGAAGAGGCCCAGGCGACUGUUUAGCAAAAACAUAGGUCUCUGCAAACUCGAAAGAGUAGGUAUAGGGGCUGACGCCUGCCCAGUGCCGGAAGGUUAAAGAAGUUGGUCAGUUUUAGGAUGAAGCUAGCGACUGAAGCCCCGGUGAACGGCGGCCGUAACUAUAACGGCCCUAAGGUAGCGAAAUUCCUUGUCGGGUAAGUUCCGACCCGCACGAAAGGCGUAACGAUCUGGGCGCUGUCUCGGAGAGAGGCUCGGCGAAAUAGGAUUGUCUGUGAAGAUACGGACUACCUGCAUUUGGACAGAAAGACCCUAUGAAGCUUUACUAUAGCUUGGAAUUGUGUUCGGGCUUCCUGUGCGCAGGAUAGGUGGGAGGCGUAGAAGGUAUUCUUGUGGGGAUACUGGAGCCAACGGUGAGAUACCACUCUCAGGAGGCUAGAAUUCUAACUUAAUUAAGGACAGUUUCAGGUGGGUGGUUUGACUGGGGCGGUCGCCUCCAAAAAGGUAACGGAGGCGUACAAAGGUUCCCUCAGACUGGUUGGAAAUCAGUCGAAGAGUGCAAAGGCAGAAGGGAGCUUGACUGCGAGAAGUACAGUUCGGGCAGGGUGGAAACACGGUCUUAGUGAUCCGACGGUGCUGUGUGGAAGGGCCGUCGCUCAACGGAUAAAAGUUACUCUAGGAUAACAGGCUGAUCUCCCCCAAGAGUUCACAUCGACGGGGAGGUUUGGCACCUCGAUGUCGGCUCAUCGCAACCUGGGGCGGAAGUACGUCCCAAGGGUUGGGCUGUUCGCCCAUUAAAGCGGUACGUGAGCUGGGUUCAGAACGUCGUGAGACAGUUCGGUCCAUAUCCGAUGUAGGCGUGAGAAUAUUGAGAGGAGCCUUCCUUAGUACGAGAGGACCGGGAAGGACGCACCGCUGGUGUACCUGUUAUGAUGCCAAUUGUAAACGCAGGGUAGCCAAGUGCGGAGAGGAUAACCGCUGAAAGCAUCUAAGUGGGAAGCCCACCUCAAGAUGAGUAUUCUGGUGUAAGGUCACGGGAAGACGACCCGUAAAUAGGCACGAGGUGGAAGUGCAGAGAUGUAUGAAGCCGAAGUGUACUCAUAGACCGUCGGCUUGACCAU